Molecule: microRNA precursor, 78 nt
Organism: Schistosoma mansoni
Lineage: Eukaryota; Metazoa; Platyhelminthes; Trematoda; Strigeidida; Schistosomatidae
Rfam family: mir-3492 microRNA precursor family
Source: Rfam
AGCUUCCUGAAUCCGUGUAGAGACUUCGUCAUAAACCAACCCAUUAGGUCUGAUCAGACUUCCAAGAUAAGUGAAGUU